CAAAUGCGCGUAACAAUUAUUUUAAUUUAUUUCAAAUUAAUAAAAUUUAUAAAUCAUAUUUAUCAACUAAUUUAGAAUAAAAUUUGUAUUUUAAAAUUUAAUUUUGAUCUAUUAUAUAAUUAAAAAUUAUUAAUUAUUAAUUUAAAUUUGAUAUCGAAAAUUAAAAAUUAAAUCUAAAUCAUAAUUUAAACUCAAAUUUAAAUUUUAAUGUAAAAUAGAUAGAUCAAAGUACUAUAUUUUAAUAGAUUGAUUAACUCUUCGUUUUUAAUUGAUCACAACCGUUCAUAGGAUUGAGUUUAUAGAUACUAAGAAUGCUAUCUUUUAACAAAUUGAUCAUCACUGUUUAUUUUUAAUUAAUACAAAAACACUAUUUUUUAACAAAUUGAUCAUAAUCAUUUGUUCUUUUUUAAUAUUUUUUUUAAUAAACUGAUCAUAUCCGUUUA
RNAcentral lists this long non-coding RNA (443 nucleotides) under Ananas comosus (pineapple). RNAcentral describes it as "long non-coding RNA (ACOM_LNC006670)". Lineage: Eukaryota; Viridiplantae; Streptophyta; Magnoliopsida; Poales; Bromeliaceae. The record is from RNAcentral.